CUCAUGUACUAUCUACAGUACCGGGGCUCUGGUACUAUUGUCUCGUUUUUUAUCUUAGGGUAUUCAAAUCAACGAUCCACACCAUUAAAACUGAUCUAGGGUAUUUAAAAUUUUAAGAAAUAAAAUUUUAUAUUUUUUCUAUAUAGUUACUUUAUGAUCAAACCAUUUCAAAAUUGUCAAUUUUCAAUGGCUACUAUGGCGAGUUUGGAGUUUAACGGUAUAGAAAAAUCUAAAUUUUCUCAAAUUUUGAUAUAAAAUACUUUAAACUAUCUAGAUUAAGGUUAACAUUCUUGAUCUUGAAUUUAAAAGUCCUAUGUUUAAAUUUUAAAGAUUAUUCAAUUUCUACAGUCCAUUUUAACAUAAUUUAUUUACUAAGUAAACGAUGUCGAAAAAAACUAAAAUUUUAUUCCUAAGAACUUCAUAUACCCUAAAUCAUAUUUAACGGUGUGGAUCAUUAAUUUGAACACGCUAAGAUCGAAAACAAAACUAUAGUCCCGAAACUCCGGUACUAUAGAUAGUAUAGUAGACUAAUUAUAUAUAGAGUGCGGCUAGGAUGCUUAUGGAAGCACGGAGGGCUCCGUGCUUCCACUUUGUUUUCGAUGUUCGAACUUUCGAAUCGACGAUCGGCUCCGUUAUACUUGAUCUAGAGUAUUUGAAGUAUCUAGAAAAUAAAUUUUUCGAUUUUUCGAUAUCAUUUGCCUAAUGAUCGAAGUGGCUCAAAAUCAACGGCUGAAAAUAAAAAUCUUAUAAAAUAUGAUGAUACGACAUUAAUAUUUUAGAUCGAAGAUAUUGAUCUUGUUUUAUAUAGUAUAAAAAAUUUUCUAUCAAAAUUUCACGUGAUUUGGAUAUUUCUACACCGUUAAACUUGUAACCGGUUCACCACGGUCGUUAAAAUUAUUAAUUUUGAGCCCCUUCGAUCACUAGGCAAAUGAUAUCGAAAAAUUACAAAAUUUACUUUUUAGGUACUUCAAAUACU
RNAcentral lists this long non-coding RNA (976 nucleotides) under Ananas comosus (pineapple). RNAcentral describes it as "long non-coding RNA (ACOM_LNC025841)". Lineage: Eukaryota; Viridiplantae; Streptophyta; Magnoliopsida; Poales; Bromeliaceae. The record is from RNAcentral.